Molecule: unclassified non-coding RNA, 2812 nt
Filed under: Pectinophora gossypiella (pink bollworm)
Lineage: Eukaryota; Metazoa; Arthropoda; Insecta; Lepidoptera; Gelechiidae
Description: uncharacterized LOC126380035
Source: RNAcentral
UUCAAUCAUAUUCUGAUGUUUUUAAAACAUGGCAGAGAGAAGGUAUCAUUGAAGAAGUGAUAGUGGACAAUAAGAAUGAAGGCCACUACAUUCCUCACCACACUGUCAUAAAGCCGUCUAGCACGACCACGAUGUUACGACCCGUGUUCGAUGCGUCGGCUAAAGACUGUAAAGGUUUGUCUCUGAAUGACUGCAUAGAUAAAGGCAUUAACCUUAUUGAACUCAUACCUAAGCUGUUAAUUUUAUUUAGAAGAGGAGCUUAUGGAGCGAUUGCAGACAUAGCUAAGGCUUUCUUACAAAUCUCAGUCUCGAAGAAUGACAGAAAGUAUUUAAAAUUCUUGUGGUGGAAGGAUUUUGAAAUGCAGCAAGAAGUAGUUACUUAUCAACAUAAUAGAGUUAUGUUUGGGGUGAACUGUAGUCCCUUUCUUUUGGCUGCCACAAUUAAUUUCCAUUUAGAUAACUGUGGUAACAAGUAUAGAGAAACAGUUCAAAAGUUAAAAGAGUCCUUUUAUGUGGACAACUGUACAGCCAGUUUUGAUACAAUAACACAACGUGAUAACUUCAUUUCACAGUCGAGAGAAAUAAUGGCGAUGGCGAAAUUCGACCUACGUGGCUGGGUUACUGCUCCUGAAAGAAUGGAAGGAGCUGUGAAAGACACCCACGUGCUGGGAUUAACGUGGAAUACCGAAGAGGACACUUUAUGCUGUAACAUCAAUUCUAAUGAAAACUAUAAAGGAAAAAUCACAAAGAGAUAUUUACUGUCCGUGACACAGCAAAUUUUCGACCCUCUAGGAAUCGUCUGCCCGGCGACAGUUGUACCUAAGCGCCUACUCCAAAAAGUAUGGAAAAGAAAAUUCGACUGGGAUGAAGAAAUAUGUCCAGAGCUAGCACGUGAAUUCAAGAUAUGGCAAAGUACAAUACAUCUACUAAAGAAAUGCAAAAUACCUAGACGGUUAACAGCAGCACCAAUUAAGAAGUGUAAUAAUAGCAUCCACACUUUUUCAGAUGCAAGUGAAGACGCAUAUGCGGCCUGUGUAUACCUGCGGACUGAACAGGAAGGCAAGGUGCAUGUACAACUCAUAAUAGCUAAAAGCAGAAUCGCCCCAGCGAAUAAGAAGAUGUCUUUGCCACGGUUGGAGUUGAUGGGGGCUGUGAUAGCCUCGCGACUGUACAGAGAGGUCAUUGACAGUGGACUCAUGACACCAGAAACAAAUUAUAAUUCUUAUUUUUGGACAGAUUCGACCGUAGUGCUUGCAUGGGUAAAACAACAGCGUCAAUGGAAACCAUUUGUAAGCAAUAGAGUAAAAGAGAUAUCAAGAAACUCAGAUAUAGACUCAUGGAAUCAUAUAUCGGGGGAUUGUAAUCCUGCGGACCUGCCUUCUCGCGGUUGCAAUGCAAAUGCGCUGCUCGAGAAGCGUUGGUGGGAAGGACCGACGUGGUUGCGUAACAGGCAGGAUUGCUGGCCCAUAUCAAGUUCAAUACAGGCUAAACCAAAUGAAGAAAUUGUAAGAAAAGAAGAAAAAUCACAGUCUCACGUAAACAUGUCUGUUACUGAACCUCUGUUUAGUAAGAGGUUGUUGUAUUUUUCAAAAUACAACAAAAUAAUCAGAUUGGUAGCAUGGUUACUUCGUUGGAAUCCUAAGGUAAGGAGACAAUUUGCCGUAGCUAGCGACUUGUCUAACGACGAGUGUGUGUAUGCGGAAAAAACAUUAUUUAAAUUGUUACAGAAGGAGGAUUUCGCCGGGGGACAUUUACCAAACAACUUCAAGACACGACAAGGCAGCGACGGUGUACUUAGAGUCAAGACAAGACUGGAACUAAGUCACGAACACAAAGAUUUCGUAAACCCGAUACUGUUAUCUGGAAAAAACGAAAUCGUGAGACGGUUCGUACGACAGCGACACGAGAUUCUACAACACGCAGGGACACAGACUUUAAUGUCUAGCAUCAGAAAUGAAUUCUGGGUUUUAGGCAUAAGACGUCUCGCAAAAAGAGUUGUUUCAGAAUGUGUCAUCUGCAAGAAGUACAAAUGUAAACAUUACGAAGUUCCAGAGGCACCCCUGCCCACAGACAGAGUGGAAAGUGUGACGGCCUUCCAGACUACAGGCAUAGAUUUUGCGGGACCGUUGGUUCUACGAAAUCAGACGAAAUGUUGGAUCGCUCUAUUCACGUGUGCGACAUAUAGAGCAGUACACCUCGAACUAGUGGAGUCAUUGUCAACAAACAGCUUCAUAAUGGCACUACGAAGAUUCAUUGCUCGAAGAGGACGAAUACAAGUCAUAUACACGGACAAUGGAACAAAUUUUCAAGGUACUGCUAACUUGUUAAAUAAUGUGGAUUGGAAGGAAGUCGAAGUUACCACAGCCGUACUACCACAGCCGAUAAAAUGGAAGUUCAUCCCGCCCGCUUCUCCUUGGUGGGGAGGAUGGUGGGAACGUCUGGUGCGCGUCAUGAAGGAAAUGCUACGUCGGAUAUUGGGAAAAGCGUCAUUAUCAUGGAUAGAGCUGACCACCCUGCUAUGUGAAUGGACUAUCCACGGCAGAGACACCUGAUUUAGACGUAAUCGAUGCUCACAAUAUGAACAUCAGAUUGCGCUACCUGCAGACCCUGCGGACGGAGUUUCGACAGAGAUUUAGAAAUGAAUAUAUUUCGUUACUUAUUAGCAAGAACAAAGGUAACGACGGCAUAACAAGAGUCGCGAAAGUACAGACUGCGAUGGGAGAGAAGAUAAGAAGUUGUCAACGCCUCUACCCAUUAGAAUUGUCGGCAGUCACUGACGAGUGGCAUACACCUACUGUCCCUAAGCAAGGUG